UUCUGUGGGAAACCUCNAGAUCUUGCAAGCUAAGCUUGCUUGGGCCAGGUUAGUACUUCUGUGGGAAACCUCCAAAGAACAUCCAAGUGCUGCAGAAA
RNAcentral lists this ribosomal RNA (98 nucleotides) under Gopherus agassizii (Agassiz's desert tortoise). Lineage: Eukaryota; Metazoa; Chordata; Testudines; Testudinidae. The record is from RNAcentral.